CGCCGCCGAGGAUUCAGCAGCCUCCCCCUUGAGCCCCCUCGCUUCCCGACGUUCCGUUCCCCCCUGCCCGCCUUCUCCCGCCACCGCCGCCGCCGCCUUCCGCAGGCCGUUUCCACCGAGGAAAAGGAAUCGUAUCGUAUGUCCGCUAUCCAGAACCUCCACUCUUUCGACCCCUUUGCUGAUGCAAGUAAGGGUGAUGACCUGCUUCCUGCUGGCACUGAGGAUUAUAUCCAUAUAAGAAUUCAACAGAGAAACGGCAGGAAGACCCUUACUACUGUCCAAGGGAUCGCUGAUGAUUACGAUAAAAAGAAACUAGUGAAGGCGUUUAAGAAAGUAGUUUGCCUGCAAUGGUACUGUAAUUGAGCAUCCGGAAUAUGGAGAAGUAAUUCAGCUACAGGGUGACCAACGCAAGAACAUAUGCCAGUUCCUCGUAGAGAUUGGACUGGCUAAGGACGAUCAGCUGAAGGUUCAUGGGUUUUAAGUGCUUGUGGCUCACUGAAGCUUAAGUGAGGAUUUCCUUGCAAUGAGUAGAAUUUCCCUUCUCUCCCUUGUCACAGGUUUAAAAACCUCACAGCUUGUAUAAUGUAACCAUUUGGGGUCCGCUUUUAACUUGGACUAGUGUAACUCCUUCAUGCAAUAAACUGAAAAGAGCCAUGCUGUCUAGUCUUGAAGUCCCUCAUUUAAACAGAGGUCAAGCAAUAGGCGCCUGGCAGUGUCAAGCCUGAAACCAAGCAAUACCGUCAUGUUUCAGCCAAGCCCAGAGCCCUAAGAUUACAAACAACUAUGGCCGGAACCUCCUCAGCUCUCCCUCUGCAGAGUUCCCUACCCUAAGAGAAUGUUACCACCUGAACAGUCCUCGGUGAAUCUGAGAGGAGAGGAUGGGGUAAGGCAGAAGCACCAGCUGUACUACUAGAAGGGAGCUUUUGGUGGUAGAUCCCCUGGUGUCUCCAACCUGACUAGGUGGACAGAGCUCAAAGAGGCCCUCUUACCGCUAGCGAGGUGAUAGGACAUCUGGCUUGCCACAAAGGUCUGUUCGACCAGACAUAUCCUAGCUAAGGGAUGUCCAAACAUCAGAAUGUGAGGCCAACCUUCUAUCAGAGUUAAACUUUUGACAAGGGAACAAAUCUCAAACUGAUCCAUCAGUCAUGUAGCUAGCUGUAGAGCUUGCAACUUAAUAGCAGCAGCUGCCCAAUGCCAUGUGAAGUAACAAACUGGUUUUUGGUUUUUUUUUCCCCUUCAGUUUUAAUGUUAUGUGUAAUGUAUUUAAACCCUUAUUUAAAUAAAACUUGUUUUCAG
RNAcentral lists this long non-coding RNA (1296 nucleotides) under Homo sapiens (human). RNAcentral's name for it is "long non-coding RNA NONHSAT175208.1". Lineage: Eukaryota; Metazoa; Chordata; Mammalia; Primates; Hominidae. The record is from RNAcentral.